AGAAGACCUCUAAAUAUCCACACCCACUAGUGUAGUGAGAUGGAUGGAGGAAUAACCAAAAGGGUGAAAAAUUGUUAGCUAAAACACCCUCAAGGUGGCCGGCCUUUUGUGGUUUUUAGAGGAAUGUUUCUUUUGCCUCUUUGUUGUUUUAAAACACACAAAAAACCCUAAGGAUUAAAACUCUAUAAAGUUCCUUAUAUAGACAAAAAGAAACCUAGUCAACAACUUGACUAAAUAUCUCUCCCAAACCCUUUAAGUGGCCGGCCCUUUUGUGUUUGGUUUGGGCUUUGGGCUUUUAUUAUUUCAAGUCAUCCUAUGCUUGAAUAAAAGCCCAAUGGGUUUAGGCCCAAUGGGCCCAAUAAAACCCGAACAUUUCUUUAAGCCCAAAACGAUCUUUAUCACUUUUAUGAUUUCUUUCAGACUGUCUAAAUUAAUCACAACACUUAAUUAAUCCAAUUAAUUAUUCCUUCAUCCAUUAAUUACUCACUACAAUAGUGUGUCGGUGUACAAUCAUUUUAGGUUCUAAUUAGCAAGGCAGUGAGGUGAUUGACAUCAAUCCAAUUGAUUAUAUUUAAUCCAAUCACUUAGUGAAUUAAAACUUCCUUUUGAUUCACCUUUCUUCUUUGAUGACUACAUUUAAUCAUCUAGAAGAACUCACAAGCUAUGAGUGACAUCUAACCAUAUGUCAUAGCUACCCAAGCUAAUGUAGAAGUUGUUCAGAGAACCUAUUCAGUUGGAAUUACAAUGUAAUUCGAUCAUUCUCUAAAACAAUACUCUCAAUCACAUUACUAGGGUAUGGAUAUAUAAUGUUAAACCCCUAAUGUGAUUAUUCCUUCUUAUAUGAUUCAAUUGAGUCGUAUAGGAACGCUUUCCUUUAUUACGCUCGAUACUUCGGCCGAAGAUUCCCGAAUCAUAUCUUAGAGUAUUCUUCCUCUCUUAUCGAGGAUUAGAGAUUCCUAGUUGCGCAUUCACUUGCCUUCAUGACUAAGUGGCUUAACCCGAAUUAUGCCGUGGACAUCCGCGAAUGGGGUGACUUUGACACAAUCAAAGAUUAAGUACUUAGCCACAAGACAACGACGAUGCCUCAGGUCAAAGGACUAUUUACAUUAUUCCAACCAUUAGAGUUACUUGCUUGACAUGUGAGUAGACCUCCAUGCAAGUACUCUCAUUCGAUUGUGUUCAGUGAACUCAUUCCCUUAAUGAGCACCUACAUACUUGUCUUAGUGUCACUACACAAAUGGGAUGAGACUUUCCAUUCUUCCAUUUGAAGCGGACACAGUAUGUACCGGUCUAAGCAUUGUCAGUAUCCCUCCAACAAUCCAAUGACCAGGAACCUUUUUGGACAUAAUGGUUAUAUGAAGAAGGUCUCUGUAGUCUAACAUCAUUAGAUUACUUCUUCAAUCGAUCCAUUGUCCAUAGAUUCAUUAAUUAGGACAUAUAUCGUUGAUUGAGAUAGUCCUAAUUAGUAUCUUUGCCAUUUGAUGUAUAAGAGUCAUCCAUACAUCGAUUCAUUUGUCCUGAAAGGUUUCUUCCAAAGAUUGACUUUCAGGGCAUAUUUCCAACAUGAUGUAGCUAGGUACACCAUAUAAGUGGAUGAUAUGCUCCUUGAUGAAACGGACGAC
RNAcentral lists this long non-coding RNA (1622 nucleotides) under Malus domestica (apple). RNAcentral's name for it is "long non-coding RNA (MDOM_LNC020367)". The record is from RNAcentral. Lineage: Eukaryota; Viridiplantae; Streptophyta; Magnoliopsida; Rosales; Rosaceae.